CCUACGGGUGGCAGCAGUGAGGAAUAUUGGGCAAUGGACGGAAGUCUGAACCAGCCAUGCCGCGUGCAGGAAGACGGCUCUAUGAGUGGUAAACUGCUUUUGUACAAGGGUAAACCUGAAUACGUGUAUUCAGCUGAACGUGCUGUACGACGAAGGAUCGGCUAACUCCGUGCCAGCAGCGGAGGUAAUACGGAGGAUCCAAGCGUUAUCCGGAUUUAUUGGGUGUAAAGGGUGCGUAGGCGGAUUGAUAAGUUAGAGGUGAAAUGGCGGGGCUUAACUCGGGAACUGACUCUAAGACUGUUGAUCUAGAGAGUAGAUGCGGUAGGCGGAAUGUAUGGUGUAGCGGUGAAAUGCUUAGAGAUCAGACAGAACACCGAUUGCGAAGGCAGCUUACCAAUCUAUAUCUGACGUUGAGGCACGAAAGCGUGGGGAGCAAACAGGAUUAGAUACCCCAGUAGUC
Molecule: ribosomal RNA, 460 nt
Filed under: uncultured bacterium
Lineage: Bacteria
Description: partial 16S ribosomal RNA
Rfam family: Bacterial small subunit ribosomal RNA
Source: RNAcentral